GAUGAACGCUGGCGGCGUGCCUAAUACAUGCAAGUCGAGCGAACGGACGAGAAGCUUGCUCCUCUGACGUUAGCGGCGGACGGGUGAGUAACACGUGGAUAACCUACCUAUAAGACUGGGAUAACUUCGGGAAACCGGAGCUAAUACCGGAUAAUAUUUUGAACCGCAUGGUUCAAAAGUGAAAGACGGUCUUGCUGUCACUUAUAGAUGGAUCCGCGCUGCAUUAGCUAGUUGGUAAGGUAACGGCUUACCAAGGCGACGAUGCAUAGCCGACCUGAGAGGGUGAUCGGCCACACUGGAACUGAGACACGGUCCAGACUCCUACGGGAGGCAGCAGUAGGGAAUCUUCCGCAAUGGGCGAAAGCCUGACGGAGCAACGCCGCGUGAGUGAUGAAGGUCUUCGGAUCGUAAAACUCUGUUAUUAGGGAAGAACAUAUGUGUAAGUAACUGUGCACACCUUGACGGUACCUAAUCAGAAAGCCACGGCUAACUACGUG
This 497-nucleotide ribosomal RNA is filed under the name uncultured bacterium. RNAcentral describes it as "partial 16S ribosomal RNA". It matches the Rfam family "Bacterial small subunit ribosomal RNA", at positions 28 to 507 of the family's 1533-position model. The record is from RNAcentral.